GCUGGCGUAGCUCAGCUGGUAGAGCAACUGAUUUGUAAUCAGUAGGUCGUCGGUUCGACUCCGACCGCUAGCUCCA
This 76-nucleotide transfer RNA is filed under the name Gammaproteobacteria bacterium. RNAcentral describes it as "tRNA-Thr". It matches the Rfam family "tRNA". From Rfam's summary of the family: Transfer RNA (tRNA) molecules are approximately 80 nucleotides in length. RNAcentral also lists the same sequence under 1 other name. The record is from RNAcentral. Lineage: Bacteria; Pseudomonadati; Pseudomonadota; Gammaproteobacteria.